RNAcentral lists this unclassified non-coding RNA (350 nucleotides) under soil metagenome. RNAcentral's name for it is "partial contains 5.8S ribosomal RNA, internal transcribed spacer 2, and large subunit ribosomal RNA". The stretch from base 1 to 121 matches the Rfam family "5.8S ribosomal RNA", at positions 35 to 154 of the family's 154-position model. The record is from RNAcentral.
GAUGAAGAACGUAGCGAAAUGCGAUAAGUAAUGCGAAUUGCAGAAUUUCCGUGAGUCAUCGAAUCUUUGAACGCACAUUGCGCCCUCUGGUAUUCCGGGGGGCAUGCCUGUUCGAGCGUCAUUAUCACCCCUCAAGCCUCUGGUUUGGCGUUGGGCUCCCCGAUCGUUUUCAGUCGGCGGCCCCAAAUAUAAUGACGGCGUCCCCGUGAGACUCGACGCACUGAGCUUUUUGCAAGCACGCGUCGUAGCGCUCCGGGUCGACCCGGUCUCAAUCUUUUACAUUUUAUCAAGGUUGACCUCGGAUCAGGUAGGGAUACCCGCUGAACUUAAGCAUAUCAAUAAGCGGAGGA